Molecule: microRNA precursor, 181 nt
Filed under: Salicornia europaea (common glasswort)
Lineage: Eukaryota; Viridiplantae; Streptophyta; Magnoliopsida; Caryophyllales; Amaranthaceae
Description: miR11040 stem-loop (seu-MIR11040)
Source: miRBase by way of RNAcentral
ACGUUGUGAUGACCGGCAUGACCCAAUUGUUGAUCACAUGCACAAUAUAUCUAUUUUGUGUUUUCGGAUUAAUUCCUAAUUAAUUCAUAUACCUUGGGAUGUUUUGAAUUUGGAUCAUCUUCAUUUACUACUUCCGUUCCAAAAAAAUGCAACAAUUGUCAUGACACGGACUCCUAUGCAU